Molecule: ribosomal RNA, 259 nt
Filed under: uncultured bacterium
Lineage: Bacteria
Description: partial 16S ribosomal RNA
Rfam family: Bacterial small subunit ribosomal RNA
Source: RNAcentral
GACGUAGGGCGCGAGCGUUUGUCCGGAUUUAUUGGGCGUAAAGAGCUCGUAGGCGGCUUGUCGCGUCGAAUGUGAAAUCUCAGGGCUCAACUCUGACAUUGCAUUCGAUACGGGCAGACUAGAGUUCGGUAGGGGAGUCUGGAAUUCCUGGUGGUAGCGGUGAAAUGCGCAGAUAUCAGGAGGAACACCGGGUGGCGAAGGCGGGACUCUGGGCCGAAUGACUGACGUGGAGGAGCGAAAGCGUGGGGAGCAAACAGGA